RNAcentral lists this non-coding RNA (24 nucleotides) under Gossypium hirsutum (cotton). The record is from RNAcentral. Lineage: Eukaryota; Viridiplantae; Streptophyta; Magnoliopsida; Malvales; Malvaceae.
GAAAAUGUGCCCAAUUAGAAGCGU